Molecule: ribosomal RNA, 301 nt
Filed under: uncultured bacterium
Lineage: Bacteria
Description: partial 16S ribosomal RNA
Rfam family: Bacterial small subunit ribosomal RNA
Source: RNAcentral
CAGCAGCCGCGGUAAUACGAAGGGUGCAAGCGUUAAUCGGAAUUACUGGGCGUAAAGCGUGCGUAGGCGGUGAGUUAAGUCUGCUGUGAAAUCCCCGGGCUCAACCUGGGAAUGGCAGUGGAUACUGGCUCGCUAGAGUGUGUCAGAGGAUGGUGGAAUUCCCGGUGUAGCAGUGAAAUGCGUGGAUAUGCGGAGGAACACCGAUGGCGAAGGCAGCCCCCUGGGCCAACACUGACGCUCAUGCACGAAGGCGUGGGGAGCAAACAGGAUUAGAUACCCCUGUAGUCCCUGUCUCUUAUAC